This 552-nucleotide ribosomal RNA is filed under the name Phyllosticta sp. GUFCC 4952. RNAcentral describes it as "eukaryotic LSU rRNA". It matches the Rfam family "Eukaryotic large subunit ribosomal RNA", at positions 68 to 637 of the family's 3401-position model. The record is from RNAcentral. Lineage: Eukaryota; Fungi; Ascomycota; Dothideomycetes; Botryosphaeriales; Phyllostictaceae.
AAUGAUAUUGCCUCAGUACGGCGAGUGAAGCGGCAAUAGCUCAAAUUUGAAAGCUGGCGCCUUCGGCGUCCGCGUUGUAAUUUGUAGAGGAUGCUUCGGCAAGGACUCCUGCCUAAGUCCCCUGGAACGGGGCGUCACAGAGGGUGAGAAUCCCGUAUGUGGUGGGCGGUCCAAGCCAUGUGAAGCUUCUUCGACGAGUCGAGUUGUUUGGGAAUGCAGCUCUAAAUGGGAGGUAAAUUUCUUCUAAAGCUAAAUAUUGGCCAGAGACCGAUAGCGCACAAGUAGAGUACUCGAAAGAUGAAAAGCACUUUGGAAAGAGAGUUAAAAAGUACGUGAAAUUGUUGAAAGGGAAGCGCUUGCAACCAGACUCGCUCGCAGUUGCUCAUCCGGCCUCUUGGCCGGUGUACUCUUCUGCGAUCGGGCCAGCAUCAGUUCGGGCGGCUGGAUAAAGGCUUCGGGAAUGUAGCACCCUUCGGGGUGUGUUAUAGCCCGUUGCGGAAUGCGGCCAGCCUGGACUGAGGAUCUCGCUCGGCAAGGAUGCUGCGAAACCCC